AAGAGAAACUAACCAGGAUUCCCCUAGUAACUGCGAGUGAAGCGGGAUGAGCUCAAAUUUAAAAUCUGGCGGUCCUUGUGGCCGUCCGAGUUGUAGUCUGGAGAAGUGUUAUCCGCGUCGGACCGUGUACAAGUCUCCUGGAAUGGAGCGUCAUAGAGGGUGAGAAUCCCGUCCAUGACACGGACGCCCGAUGCUUUGUGAGGCACUCUCGAAGAGUCGAGUUGUUUGGGAAUGCAGCUCAAAAUGGGUGGUAAAUUCCAUCUAAAGCUAAAUAUUGGCGAGAGACCGAUAGCGAACAAGUACCGUGAGGGAAAGAUGAAAAGCACUUUGGAAAGAGAGUUAAAUAGUACGUGAAAUUGUUGAAAGGGAAACGCUUGAAGUCAGUCGCGUCCCGUGGAACUCAGCCUGGCUUCGGCCUGGUGUACUUUCUAUGCGGACGGGUCAACAUCAGUUUUGGCCGGCGGAAAAGGGCAGAGGGAAUGUAGCGCCGCUUCGGUGGCGUGUUAUAGCCCUCUGUCAAAUACGCUGGCGGGGACUGAGGACUGCAGCACGCCCUUGUGGCCGGGGGUUCGCCCCACGUAACGUGCUUAGGAUGUUGGCAUAAUGGCUUA
Molecule: ribosomal RNA, 611 nt
Filed under: Inonotus hispidus
Lineage: Eukaryota; Fungi; Basidiomycota; Agaricomycetes; Hymenochaetales; Hymenochaetaceae
Description: eukaryotic LSU rRNA
Rfam family: Eukaryotic large subunit ribosomal RNA
Source: RNAcentral